RNAcentral lists this ribosomal RNA (394 nucleotides) under uncultured bacterium. Its description in RNAcentral is "partial 16S ribosomal RNA". It matches the Rfam family "Bacterial small subunit ribosomal RNA", at positions 952 to 1346 of the family's 1533-position model. The record is from RNAcentral.
UUUUUUAUGGGGGAAAACUCUUCCCUGGCUUUACAUCACCGGGAAACACCCGGAGAAAGGGGGGUCCCUUGGGGGCAGUUGACACAGGGUGCAUGCUUGUUUGUAGCUAGUGUGUUGAGAGAUUUGGUUAAAUACCCCAACGAGCGCACCCCCCCUUCCUUUUUGCCAGCGCCUUAUGGUGGGGAAUUAUAGGGGGCUGCCGGGGUAAAAUCGGAGGAAAGUGGGGAAGAAGUCAAAUUCUCCUGGCCCUUUAGUCCUGGGGUUCACCCAUGCUUCAAUGGCCGGUACAAAGGGGUGCCAAACCGGGAGGGGGAGCCAAUCCCAAAAAACCGGUUUCAGUUCGGAUUGGAGUUUGCAACUUGGAUCCCUGAAGUCGGAAUCGGUUGUUAUUCCA